AACGCUUGUAGCAAUACAGGAGUGGCGAAAGGGUGAGGAACACGUGAGUAACCUACCCCCAAGUUGGGAAUAACACCGGGAAACUGGUGCUAAUACCGAAUGUGGCUGAUGAACCGCAUGGUUUAUCAGCUAAAGAUUUAUCGCUUGGGGAGGGGCUCGCGUCCCAUUAGCUAGUUGGUGAGGUAACGGCUCACCAAGGCAACGAUGGGUAGCUGGUCUGAGAGGAUGGCCAGCCACACUGGGACUGAGACACUGCCCAGACUCCUACGGGAGGCUGCAGUCGAGAAUCUUGGGCAAUGCGCGAAAGCGUGACCCANCAAUGCCGCGUGCAGGAUGAAGGCCUUCGGGUUGUAAACUGCUGUCACCCGGGACGAAGAAUUGACGGUACCGGGAGAGGAAGCCACGGCUAACUACGUGCCAGCAGCCGCGGUAAUACGUAGGUGGCGAGCGUUGUUCGGAUUUAUUGGGCGUAAAGGGUCUGUAGGGGGUUUGCUAAGUCUGAUGUGAAAUCCCGUGGCUCAACCACGGAACUGCAUUGGAGACUGGCGGACUAAANUUCUGGAGAGGUAAGCCGGAAUUCCAAGUGUACCGGUGGAAUGCCUANAUAUCUGGAAAAACACCCAUAGCNAAAGCAGCUUACUGGACAACGACUGACCCUUAAAAACNAAAACCUGGGGAGCAAACAGGAUUANAUACCCUGGUAGUCCA
This 708-nucleotide ribosomal RNA is filed under the name uncultured bacterium SY6-8. RNAcentral's name for it is "bacterial SSU rRNA". It matches the Rfam family "Bacterial small subunit ribosomal RNA", at positions 65 to 797 of the family's 1533-position model. The record is from RNAcentral.